UUGGCGGCGUGGAUUAGGCAUGCAAGUCGAACGAAUCCCUGGGGGCUUGCUCUCAGGGGAAAGUGGCGAAAGGGGCAGUAAUGCGUGGGUAACCUACCUCGGGGACCGGGAUAGCCGUUCUAACGGACGGGUAAUACCGGGCGAUGUACCGAGGGGGCAUCUCUUUGCUACGAAAUGAGUUUCGCCUCGAGAGGGGCUCACGUGGUAUUAGCUUGUUGGCGGGGUAACGGCCCACCAAGGCCAAGAUGCCUAGCGGGUGUGAGAGCACGACCCGCGCCACUGGCACUGCGACACUGGCCAGACUCCUACGGGAGGCUGCAGUCGAGGAUCUUCGGCAAUGGGCGAAAGCCUGACCGAGCGACGCCGCGUGUGCGAUGAACGCCUUCGGGUUGUAAAGCACUGUCGAGGGGGAGGAAAGCCCGCAAGGGUCUGACCUAUCCCUGGAGGAAGCACGGGCUAAGUUCGUGCCAGCAGCCGCGGUAAGACGAACCGUGCGAACGUUGUUCGGAUUCACUGGGCUUAAAGGGCGCGUAAGCGGGCUAUCAAGUCUGUGGUGAAAUCCCCC
This 565-nucleotide ribosomal RNA is filed under the name uncultured bacterium. RNAcentral's name for it is "bacterial SSU rRNA". It matches the Rfam family "Bacterial small subunit ribosomal RNA", at positions 36 to 605 of the family's 1533-position model. The record is from RNAcentral.